Molecule: long non-coding RNA, 344 nt
Organism: Xenia sp. Carnegie-2017
Lineage: Eukaryota; Metazoa; Cnidaria; Anthozoa; Malacalcyonacea; Xeniidae
Exons: 3
Source: RefSeq, a predicted model, not a curated record
GUUUUUAUUAUCACUUUUUAUGCAUUUAGCGUUGUUGCAAGAUCUGCGUCACCAAUGGACGGUGCAACGCCAGCAGAACUAUGGAUUUUCCUCUGUCGCAUGCGAUAUGACUAUUGAGCAAACCUUAAACAGAGAUUCAAAAACAACAGGAGGAAUGGUCGGAAUUACAUUAAACAGAGGUGCUAUGCAACGAUGGAUUCUAGCUCAAUCCGAUCGUUCUGCAAUCACAGGGAAUGUAUGAAAAUGGCCGGCACCGAUCCAAGUAAAAGGAAAAGAAAAGAACUGGACACUCCACAAAAAACUCGACAUGAGAAAGAUAUCUCCAACAUAGUAAACACGCUUCA